RNAcentral lists this ribosomal RNA (375 nucleotides) under uncultured bacterium. RNAcentral's name for it is "bacterial SSU rRNA". It matches the Rfam family "Bacterial small subunit ribosomal RNA", at positions 524 to 898 of the family's 1533-position model. The record is from RNAcentral.
UACGUAGGGGGCAAGCGUUGUCCGGAAUCACUGGGCGUAAAGGGCGCGUAGGCGGUCAAUUAAGUCAGAUGUGAAAGACCAGGGCUCAACCUUGGGGUUGCAUUUGAAACUGGUUGACUUGAGUGCAGGAGAGGAAAGUGGAAUUCCCGGUGUAGCGGUGAUAUGCGUAGAUAUCGGGAGGAACACCAGUGGCGAAGGCGGCUUUCUGGACUGUAACUGACGCUGAGGCGCGAAAGCUGGGGGAGCGAACAGGAUUAGAUACCCUGGUAGUCCCAGCCGUAAACGAUGGGUACUAGGUGUUGGGGCUGUCAUGGCUUCAGUGCCGGAGUUAACGCAAUAAGUACCCCGCCUGGGGAGUACGGCCGCAAGGUUGAA